CAUACAGUCCUCUUCUCCAAUUGCAAAACACAGAGAACACCAAAAUGACGACGAGGACGAAUUUGUACAAGAACCCUUCCAUUACGUACAAGAAGGACCUCAGUCUCUCCUCCGUUCUUCAAAACCUCCAAGCUUACAACAUCGCCACCGGCAAUGCUCCGCCUCCUGAAGAACAUCCUCCGCCAGCCGCCGAUGCCAAAACGGCAGGUCGUAAACGCCAGCGCGAUCCAAAACCGCCGCCGCAGCAUUGUGGCGGGAAGCGUGAAAUUGAAGAGGGCGACGGACCUAUGUCGCACCAGGAUUACAUAGACAAGAGAAGAAAAGAAGCUUCUGCAACGCCAGCUUUCGAAGAAUUAACUGCGGAUGUUUUGGGAAAGCAAGGAACUUCCAAUUCAUGUUUAAAUUUGGUACAGUAUGACAGUGGUGAGACUAGUUCUUCAGAAUGUGAAGAGAAGCAGCAUGAUCCUCCAAAUUCUGUUCACAGGAAUGAAUCUGAUGGAGUAAAGAGCAGAAGUGAACAGCGUUUGCCUCACCCAGGCGAACCUGUUUGUGUAAUGUGUGGUAAAUACGGAGAAUAUAUAUGCAACGAGACGGAUGACGACAUCUGCAGCAUGGAGUGCAAAGCUGAGUUACUGGAAGCUCUUCAAGUUGUCAAGGAUCCAUUAAGCAAUGAAAGACCAGAUGUCUCCUCAUCCGGGCCCAACUAUACCUUACCCAUGCCUGAUUUUGGUGAAGACACUUGGGAUUAUGAACGUCAUCGCUGGUUGAAGAAGACUUCCAGUCUUUGUAGUUAUGAAUGCUGGAAAUGCAAGAGGCCUGGACACCUUGCUCAAGAUUGUUUGGUGAUGACAAAUAACCAGAUGACAUUGGGCCAAAGCAAUUCCAAUUCAAUAUCAGCGGACCUUCUUGCGUUGUACAGAAGAUGCCACCAGAUAGGAAAAAACAUGUCAGUGGCAAAGUGCAGCGAAUGCUACAGCUCAUUAAGUUUGGCUACAUGCCUUGAUUGUAGGACUGCCCUCUGUGACAAUGCAGGUCAUUUGCAUGAGCAUAUACAGAGACAUACAUCCCAUCAACGAUAUUAUUCUCAUAAACUCUCUCGUCUGGUGAAAUGCUGUAAAUCAACAUGCAAGGUGACUGACAUCAAGGAUCUUUUGGCAUGCCAGUACUGUUUUGAUAAAGCUUUUGAUAAGUUCUAUGACAUGUAUACUGCAUCUUGGAAAGGAACUGGUCUUUCAAUCAUAUCAGGUUCUAUUUGCUGUGAAGAUCACUUUGAUUGGCAUCGUAUGAACUGUUUCAACGCUGGUGUGGAAGACAGUGCAUAUAUUAUCAGUAGGACACCGCUGAGAGAGAAGCAUAUUCAGCUUAGUGACUUCAUCUUCUGAAAGUGUUACUGAGGCAGAGACAACUACACUUCGGUUGUUCAUGAUGGUACUGCUUCAUAAACUCCUAACAAUGCAUAUGGAUUAUCAAAUUGUGUUUGUACAGUUAUAGGUUUCAACAUACUACUGAAAACCUUUACAGUCCUUGCAAAGUAAGAAUAUCAACUGUUCAUUGCUUUGCCAACUUGGAGCUUGUGGGGACUCUACAUCCAUGGAAGGUUGAGAUUAUGCAGUUUUAAUCAGGAAAUUAUAUGGGUUAUCAUGUAAUUAUCUUGGAUCAGUUUGUAAGGUGGAGGCUGGCAAGGCCGAACAGGCUGUAUUCUCAUCUGAUUCUUAUUGAAUAGGUCCAGCAGUUUGUCCAUUCUUAAUUUUCGUUCCAUGUGCAUUCUACUACUACUUUCUUCUGUUUUAACUUCUUAUUUAUCUCUCGAGGAGAUGUAGCGGUGAUGAAAUAUAGUGGUUGUCCAGAAAUUUGCU
Molecule: RNA transcript, 1856 nt
Organism: Rosa chinensis
Lineage: Eukaryota; Viridiplantae; Streptophyta; Magnoliopsida; Rosales; Rosaceae
Exons: 16
Source: RefSeq, a predicted model, not a curated record